This is a long non-coding RNA of Vespa crabro (European hornet), 901 nucleotides long. RefSeq lists it as uncharacterized. NCBI's taxonomy places the organism in Eukaryota, Metazoa, Arthropoda, Insecta, Hymenoptera, Vespidae. The transcript is spliced from 3 exons. The record is from RefSeq and is a predicted model, not a curated record.
GAGAGAGAAAGAGAGAAAAAUAAGAGAGGGUUGGUAAAAGCGUCACGACAAUCCGGACAUCGGCAUUACGAACUAGUCGUCUACUAUUUACCCUCGUAGUUAAGGCUACCCCAUAAAGAUUCAGAUAGCCGAGGAAAAGGCACACCCUAUGGAUAUAAAGCAACGUUUUGUAGCCAGGCUUAAAAGGGCUCCGGUGGUUCAACGCUAACUGUGCUACGACAGAAGCGCAUUACGUACCAUGUUAAGGAACAUGAAAGAGUAAAACAAGGAAGAAAGAAAGAGAGAGAGAAAGAGAGAGAGAUAAUAAAAUAAAGACGAUGAAGGUAUAGGAAGGAUAAAAGGUAAACGAUCGAAUUUUUGACUGGUAUUCACAAGUCUCACGGCAACGGGUGAGCUUCGUAAAUCGCUUCAUUUCCUAGUCGAGGAUUAUAACGCCCUCGACCACCAAUAAUAAAAUAAAUCACAGCCUCGUAAAGGCAUCCGUCAUGCCGGUGAACUCUCUCCUCUUGUAUAUAUAUACAGGGUGUCUCGUUUAUCUCGAAAAAUUGGAAUAUAUCGUGAGGGAUUGAACUUUAGUGAAAAUAUUUCUUUACAAAUUUCUUUGAUAUAAAAACAGUACAUUUUACUGCGUUACAUGGAGUUCACUCAUCCACCGGACAUACGGCACAAAGAACAACACACAGUGAACUAAGCUUCGUUCAGCAACCUGCCUCGAAAAGUCCUUUAUUGGAGCAUAUCACCUGUUUGGCUGUCAUCAUUUCUCGAAAAGAUCAUCUGUAAUCUGCCAUGAUAAAGUUAUUGUGAAAAAAUCAUCACAUACAGUAACCAUACAAGUGAUUCAAGUAUUCUGCUAGUAUCGAAGAGCAUGACGAGGAUUAAACGUGCCCUGGCUUACAAUCAU